RNAcentral lists this ribosomal RNA (467 nucleotides) under uncultured bacterium. RNAcentral's name for it is "partial 16S ribosomal RNA". It matches the Rfam family "Bacterial small subunit ribosomal RNA", at positions 28 to 507 of the family's 1533-position model. The record is from RNAcentral.
GACGAACGCUGGUGGCGUGCUUAACACAUGCAAGUCGAACGGAAAGGCCCUGCUUUUGUGGGGUGCUCGAGUGGCGAACGGGUGAGUAACACGUGAGUAACCUGCCCUUGACUUUGGGAUAACUUCAGGAAACUGGGGCUAAUACCGGAUAGGAGCUCCUGCUGCAUGGUGGGGGUUGGAAAGUUUCGGCGGUUGGGGAUGGACUCGCGGCUUAUCAGCUUGUUGGUGGGUAGUGGCUUACCAAGGCUUUGACGGGUAGCCGGCCUGAGAGGGUGACCGGCCACAUUGGGACUGAGAUACGGCCCAGACUCCUACGGGAGGCAGCAGUGGGGAAUAUUGCACAAUGGGCGGAAGCCUGAUGCAGCAACGCCGCGUGCGGGAUGACGGCCUUCGGGUUGUAAACCGCUUUCGCCUGUGACGAAGCGUGAGUGACGGUAAUGGGUAAAGAAGCACCGGCUAACUACGUG